UUACGGUCAAAUCACGCUGAAACACCGGUUCUCGUACGAUCACCGAAGUUAAGCAGCGUAGAGCCAGGUCAGUACUUAGAUCA
This 83-nucleotide ribosomal RNA is filed under the name Acanthosepion pharaonis. The record is from RNAcentral. Lineage: Eukaryota; Metazoa; Mollusca; Cephalopoda; Sepiida; Sepiidae.